Macaca fascicularis (crab-eating macaque) is the source of this 119-nucleotide ribosomal RNA. Lineage: Eukaryota; Metazoa; Chordata; Mammalia; Primates; Cercopithecidae. The record is from Ensembl.
GUCUACGGCCAUAUGACCCUGAAUGCGCACGAUCUUGUCUGAUCUCAGAAGCUAAGCAGGAUCUGGCCUGGUUAGUACUUGGAUGGGAGACCACCUGGGAAUACUGGGUACUGUAGGCU